GACGAACGCUGGCGGCGUGCCUAAUACAUGCAAGUUGAGCGCUGAAGGUUGGUACUUGUACCAACUGGAUGAGCAGCGAACGGGUGAGUAACGCGUGGGGAAUCUGCCUUUGAGCGGGGGACAACAUUUGGAAACGAAUGCUAAUACCGCAUAAAAACUUUAAACACAAGUUUUAAGUUUGAAAGAUGCAAUUGCAUCACUCAAAGAUGAUCCCGCGUUGUAUUAGCUAGUUGGUGAGGUAAAGGCUCACCAAGGCGAUGAUACAUAGCCGACCUGAGAGGGUGAUCGGCCACAUUGGGACUGAGACACGGCACAAACUCCUACGGGAGGCAGCAGUAGGGAAUCUUCGGCAAUGGACGAAAGUCUGACCGAGCAACGCCGCGUGAGUGAAGAAGGUUGUCGGAUCGUAAAACUCUGUUGGUAGAGAAGAACGUUGGUGAGAGUGGAAAGCUCAUCAAGUGACGGUAACUACCCAGAAAGGGACGGCUAACUACGUG
RNAcentral lists this ribosomal RNA (497 nucleotides) under uncultured bacterium. RNAcentral describes it as "partial 16S ribosomal RNA". It matches the Rfam family "Bacterial small subunit ribosomal RNA", at positions 28 to 507 of the family's 1533-position model. The record is from RNAcentral.